RNAcentral lists this ribosomal RNA (1322 nucleotides) under Bacillus pumilus. Its description in RNAcentral is "bacterial SSU rRNA". It matches the Rfam family "Bacterial small subunit ribosomal RNA", at positions 68 to 1375 of the family's 1533-position model. Lineage: Bacteria; Bacillati; Bacillota; Bacilli; Caryophanales; Bacillaceae. The record is from RNAcentral.
AUCAGAAGGGAGCUUGCUCCCGGAUGUUAGCGGCGGACGGGUGAGUAACACGUGGGUAACCUGCCUGUAAGACUGGGAUAACUCCGGGAAACCGGAGCUAAUACCGGAUAGUUCCUUGAACCGCAUGGUUCAAGGAUGAAAGACGGUUUCGGCUGUCACUUACAGAUGGACCCGCGGCGCAUUAGCUAGUUGGUGGGGUAAUGGCUCACCAAGGCGACGAUGCGUAGCCGACCUGAGAGGGUGAUCGGCCACACUGGGACUGAGACACGGCCCAGACUCCUACGGGAGGCAGCAGUAGGGAAUCUUCCGCAAUGGACGAAAGUCUGACGGAGCAACGCCGCGUGAGUGAUGAAGGUUUUCGGAUCGUAAAGCUCUGUUGUUAGGGAAGAACAAGUGCGAGAGUAACUGCUCGCACCUUGACGGUACCUAACCAGAAAGCCACGGCUAACUACGUGCCAGCAGCCGCGGUAAUACGUAGGUGGCAAGCGUUGUCCGGAAUUAUUGGGCGUAAAGGGCUCGCAGGCGGUUUCUUAAGUCUGAUGUGAAAGCCCCCGGCUCAACCGGGGAGGGUCAUUGGAAACUGGGAAACUUGAGUGCAGAAGAGGAGAGUGGAAUUCCACGUGUAGCGGUGAAAUGCGUAGAGAUGUGGAGGAACACCAGUGGCGAAGGCGACUCUCUGGUCUGUAACUGACGCUGAGGAGCGAAAGCGUGGGGAGCGAACAGGAUUAGAUACCCUGGUAGUCCACGCCGUAAACGAUGAGUGCUAAGUGUUAGGGGGUUUCCGCCCCUUAGUGCUGCAGCUAACGCAUUAAGCACUCCGCCUGGGGAGUACGGUCGCAAGACUGAAACUCAAAGGAAUUGACGGGGGCCCGCACAAGCGGUGGAGCAUGUGGUUUAAUUCGAAGCAACGCGAAGAACCUUACCAGGUCUUGACAUCCUCUGACAACCCUAGAGAUAGGGCUUUCCCUUCGGGGACAGAGUGACAGGUGGUGCAUGGUUGUCGUCAGCUCGUGUCGUGAGAUGUUGGGUUAAGUCCCGCAACGAGCGCAACCCUUGAUCUUAGUUGCCAGCAUUUAGUUGGGCACUCUAAGGUGACUGCCGGUGACAAACCGGAGGAAGGUGGGGAUGACGUCAAAUCAUCAUGCCCUUUAUGACCUGGGCUACACACGUGCUACAAUGGACAGAACAAAGGGCUGCGAGACCGCAAGGUUUAGCCAAUCCCAUAAAUCUGUUCUCAGUUCGGAUCGCAGUCUGCAACUCGACUGCGUGAAGCUGGAAUCGCUAGUAAUCGCGGAUCAGCAUGCCGCGGUGAAUACGUUCCC